UUAAGCGACUAAGCGUACACGGUGGAUGCCCUGGCAGUCAGAGGCGAUGAAGGACGUGCUAAUCUGCGAUAAGCGUCGGUAAGGUGAUAUGAACCGUUAUAACCGGCGAUUUCCGAAUGGGGAAACCCAGUGUGAUUCGUCACACUAUCAUUAACUGAAUCCAUAGGUUAAUGAGGCGAACCGGGGGAACUGAAACAUCUAAGUACCCCGAGGAAAAGAAAUCAACCGAGAUUCCCCCAGUAGCGGCGAGCGAACGGGGAGCAGCCCAGAGCCUGAAUCAGUGUGUGUGUUAGUGGAAGCGUCUGGAAAGGCGUGCGAUACAGGGUGACAGCCCCGUACACAAAAAUGCACAUGCUGUGAGCUCGAUGAGUAGGGCGGGACACGUGGUAUCCUGUCUGAAUAUGGGGGGACCAUCCUCCAAGGCUAAAUACUCCUGACUGACCGAUAGUGAACCAGUACCGUGAGGGAAAGGCGAAAAGAACCCCGGCGAGGGGAGUGAAAAAGAACCUGAAACCGUGUACGUACAAGCAGUGGGAGCACGCUUAGGCGUGUGACUGCGUACCUUUUGUAUAAUGGGUCAGCGACUUAUAUUCUGUAGCAAGGUUAACCGAAUAGGGGAGCCGAAGGGAAACCGAGUCUUAACUGGGCGUUAAGUUGCAGGGUAUAGACCCGAAACCCGGUGAUCUAGCCAUGGGCAGGUUGAAGGUUGGGUAACACUAACUGGAGGACCGAACCGACUAAUGUUAGAAAAAUUAGCGGAUGACUUGUGGCUGGGGGUGAAAGGCCAAUCAAACCGGGAGAUAGCUGGUUCUCCCCGAAAGCUAUUUAGGUAGCGCCUCGUGAAUUCAUCUCCGGGGGUAGAGCACUGUUUCGGCAAGGGGGUCAUCCCGACUUACCAACCCGAUGCAAACUGCGAAUACCGGAGAAUGUUAUCACGGGAGACACACGGCGGGUGCUAACGUCCGUCGUGAAGAGGGAAACAACCCAGACCGCCAGCUAAGGUCCCAAAGUCAUGGUUAAGUGGGAAACGAUGUGGGAAGGCCCAGACAGCCAGGAUGUUGGCUUAGAAGCAGCCAUCAUUUAAGAAAGCGUAAUAGCUCACUGGUCGAGUCGGCCUGCGCGGAAGAUGUAACGGGGCUAAACCAUGCACCGAAGCUGCGGCAGCGACACUAUGUGUUGUUGGGUAGGGGAGCGUUCUGUAAGCCUGUGAAGGUGUACUGUGAGGUAUGCUGGAGGUAUCAGAAGUGCGAAUGCUGACAUAAGUAACGAUAAAGCGGGUGAAAAGCCCGCUCGCCGGAAGACCAAGGGUUCCUGUCCAACGUUAAUCGGGGCAGGGUGAGUCGACCCCUAAGGCGAGGCCGAAAGGCGUAGUCGAUGGGAAACAGGUUAAUAUUCCUGUACUUGGUGUUACUGCGAAGGGGGACGGAGAAGGCUAUGUUGGCCGGGCGACGGUUGUCCCGGUUUAAGCGUGUAGGCUGGUUUUCCAGGCAAAUCCGGAAAAUCAAGGCUGAGGCGUGAUGACGAGGCACUACGGUGCUGAAGCAACAAAUGCCCUGCUUCCAGGAAAAGCCUCUAAGCAUCAGGUAACAUCAAAUCGUACCCCAAACCGACACAGGUGGUCAGGUAGAGAAUACCAAGGCGCUUGAGAGAACUCGGGUGAAGGAACUAGGCAAAAUGGUGCCGUAACUUCGGGAGAAGGCACGCUGAUAUGUAGGUGAAGUCCCUCGCGGAUGGAGCUGAAAUCAGUCGAAGAUACCAGCUGGCUGCAACUGUUUAUUAAAAACACAGCACUGUGCAAACACGAAAGUGGACGUAUACGGUGUGACGCCUGCCCGGUGCCGGAAGGUUAAUUGAUGGGGUCAGCGCAAGCGAAGCUCUUGAUCGAAGCCCCGGUAAACGGCGGCCGUAACUAUAACGGUCCUAAGGUAGCGAAAUUCCUUGUCGGGUAAGUUCCGACCUGCACGAAUGGCGUAAUGAUGGCCAGGCUGUCUCCACCCGAGACUCAGUGAAAUUGAACUCGCUGUGAAGAUGCAGUGUACCCGCGGCAAGACGGAAAGACCCCGUGAACCUUUACUAUAGCUUGACACUGAACAUUGAGCCUUGAUGUGUAGGAUAGGUGGGAGGCUUUGAAGUGUGGACGCCAGUCUGCAUGGAGCCGACCUUGAAAUACCACCCUUUAAUGUUUGAUGUUCUAACGUUGACCCGUAAUCCGGGUUGCGGACAGUGUCUGGUGGGUAGUUUGACUGGGGCGGUCUCCUCCUAAAGAGUAACGGAGGAGCACGAAGGUUGGCUAAUCCUGGUCGGACAUCAGGAGGUUAGUGCAAUGGCAUAAGCCAGCUUGACUGCGAGCGUGACGGCGCGAGCAGGUGCGGAAGCAGGUCAUAGUGAUCCGGUGGUUCUGAAUGGAAGGGCCAUCGCUCAACGGAUAAAAGGUACUCCGGGGAUAACAGGCUGAUACCGCCCAAGAGUUCAUAUCGACGGCGGUGUUUGGCACCUCGAUGUCGGCUCAUCACAUCCUGGGGCUGAAGUAGGUCCCAAGGGUAUGGCUGUUCGCCAUUUAAAGUGGUACGCGAGCUGGGUUUAGAACGUCGUGAGACAGUUCGGUCCCUAUCUGCCGUGGGCGCUGGAGAACUGAGGGGGGCUGCUGCUAGUACGAGAGGACCGGAGUGGACGCAUCACUGGUGUUCGGGUUGUCAUGCCAAUGGCACUGCCCGGUAGCUAAAUGCGGAAGAGAUAAGUGCUGAAAGCAUCUAAGCACGAAACUUGCCCCGAGAUGAGUUCUCCCUGUCUCCUUGAGAGUCCUGAAGGAACGUUGAAGACGACGACGUUGAUAGGCCGGAUGUGUAAGCGCAGCGAUGCGUUGAGCUAACCGGUACUAAUGAACCGUGAGGCUUAACCUU
RNAcentral lists this ribosomal RNA (2900 nucleotides) under Escherichia coli P0304816.1. RNAcentral describes it as "bacterial LSU rRNA". It matches the Rfam family "Bacterial large subunit ribosomal RNA". Lineage: Bacteria; Pseudomonadati; Pseudomonadota; Gammaproteobacteria; Enterobacterales; Enterobacteriaceae. The record is from RNAcentral.